GAGUGGGGUUUAAUCUGGACUGAAUUGGAGGAAAGGAACUGGCACCAGAGUGGAGGCUGGAAGGAUGGUGGAACUGACACUGGGACAGAACACAGAAAACAGAAUCUAAUGCUAUUGCUCUGGCUAUAUCAAAUAAAAGUGUCAAGAGUGAGCAUCCUUGCCUUGUGCUGAAUCACAAAGGAAUACCUUUCAGUUUUUCUCCAUUGAUUAUGAUAGCAGUGGGCUUUUCACAGUGGGCUUUACUGUGUUGAGGCUGGAGUGCAAUGGCGUGAUCUCGGCUCACUGCAACCUCUGCCUUCCGGUUUCAAGCAAUUCUCCUGCCUCAGCCUCCUGAGUAGCUGGGAUUACAGGCACCCACCACCACGCCUGGCUAAUUUUUGUAUUUUUAGUAGAGACAGGGUUUCACCGUGUUGUUCAGGCUGGUCUCGAGCUCCUGACCUCGUGAUCCGACCACCUCAGCCUCCUAAAAUGCUGGGAUUACAGGCGUGAGCCACCGCGCCGGCCAAGGCAAUGAUUUUUAAUGGUUUUUGGGAAGCAGAUUUUAUAAUAUAUUAAAGGAAGGUGUGUGUGUGUGUGUGUGUGGGUACGUAAUACAUACAAAUAUAUCCAUUCAUCUUUUAAUAAACUAGGUUCAGCAUC
Homo sapiens (human) is the source of this 639-nucleotide long non-coding RNA. Ensembl annotates it as deleted in lymphocytic leukemia 1. Its record names the gene DLEU1. The record is from Ensembl. Lineage: Eukaryota; Metazoa; Chordata; Mammalia; Primates; Hominidae.